CUUCCCGCUCCCCAGGCUCUGAACAUAAGAACCAUUUGGCUGCACGGCCCUGUGCUACCUACUUUCCAAACACUAUCUCAUUAUCUUCACUCCCUCGAACGGCCCUAUUAGAGAAGUAUUAUUAGCACACUUUGAAGAAGAGGAAAUCCAGACUCAGAGAAGGAAAGAACAUUGCCAGAGGCUCCACAGCCUGUCAGUGGCAGAGCCAGGAUUCCCAGGCUCUGUCUGGCUUCUGUGACACAGGCCCCAGCACACCCAAGACCCGUGGACGACGUCCCCCACCUGGGCCACCUCCUGGCAUGGUCACAAUACGCCUCAUUUCAACAGCUCUGCUGAGUCGGAGCCUGAAGGCCAGGGCGGCUGGCUGCCUGGUGCGGAUGUCUGGCAGGACAGGCAGGACGAGACGAACGGUGCCAAGAGAAAGCCCAGGGGACUGGCCCAGGUCAGUGGGUGACAGGCAGAUGGGGCUGAGCUAAGAGGCGGAGGAGAUGCAGAGGAAGUAAGACUGACUCCUGACCCUGUUCCAGAUUUCCCUUCUCUCCCUUCCUGCAUCAGCCCUACAUCACCUCCCCCAGGAAGGCUUCCCGGCUAUGCAGUCUGGGUGGGUUUCCUGUGACUCCCCUAAGUUCCAGUAAUGCCCCACCCACAGGCCUCAGAACCCAGUUCUGUGUGGGUGUCUGGGCGCCUCGCUAAC
Long non-coding RNA from Mustela erminea (ermine), 694 nucleotides. RefSeq lists it as uncharacterized. The record is from RefSeq and is a predicted model, not a curated record. Lineage: Eukaryota; Metazoa; Chordata; Mammalia; Carnivora; Mustelidae. The transcript is spliced from 3 exons.